ACCUAAAUAGCUUAUUGAGAGUAUAACACUGAAGAUGUUAAGGAAAUAUUAUUUAUUUUUAGGUA
This 65-nucleotide transfer RNA is filed under the name Trilophidia annulata. RNAcentral's name for it is "tRNA-Phe". The record is from RNAcentral. Lineage: Eukaryota; Metazoa; Arthropoda; Insecta; Orthoptera; Acrididae.